UACGUAGGGGGCUAGCGUUGUCCGGAUUUAUUGGGCGUAAAGAGCGUGUAGGCGGCCAGGUAGGUCCGGUGUGAAAACUCGAGGCUUAACCUCGAGAUGUCAUCGGAAACCAUCUGGCUAGAGUCCGGAAGAGGAGAGUGGAAUUCCUGGUGUAGCGGUGAAAUGCGCAGAUAUCGAGAGGAACACCUGCGGCGAAGGCGGGUUGCUGGGCUGACACUGACGCUGAGGCGCGAAAGCUAGGGGAGCGAACGGG
Molecule: ribosomal RNA, 253 nt
Filed under: uncultured bacterium
Lineage: Bacteria
Description: partial 16S ribosomal RNA
Rfam family: Bacterial small subunit ribosomal RNA
Source: RNAcentral